GAUGAACGCUGGCGGCGUGCCUAAUACAUGCGAGUCGAGCGAACGGACGAGAAGCUUGCUUCUCUGAUGUUAGCGGCGGACGGGUGAGUAACACGUGGAUAACCUACCUAUAAGACUGAGAUAACUUCGGGAAACCGGAGCUAAUACCGGAUGAUAUUUUGAACCGCAUGGUUCAAAAGUGAAAGACGGUCUUGCUGUCACUUAUAGAUGGAUCCGCGCUGCAUUAGCUAGUUGGUAAGGUAACGGCUUACCAAGGCAACGAUGCAUAGCCGACCUGAGAGGGUGAUCGGCCACACUGGAACUGAGACACGGUCCAGACUCCUACGGGAGGCAGCAGUAGGGAAUCUUCCGCAAUGGGCGAAAGCCUGACGGAGCAACGCCGAGUGAGUGAUGAAGGUCUUCGGAUCGUAAAACUCUGUUAUUAGGGAAGAACAUAUGUGUAAGUAACUGUGCACAUCUUGACGGUACCUAAUCAGAAAGCCACGGCUAACUACGUG
This 497-nucleotide ribosomal RNA is filed under the name uncultured bacterium. Its description in RNAcentral is "partial 16S ribosomal RNA". It matches the Rfam family "Bacterial small subunit ribosomal RNA", at positions 28 to 507 of the family's 1533-position model. The record is from RNAcentral.